RNAcentral lists this long non-coding RNA (2939 nucleotides) under Sus scrofa (pig). Its description in RNAcentral is "lncRNA (ENSSSCG00025003720.1)". The record is from RNAcentral. Lineage: Eukaryota; Metazoa; Chordata; Mammalia; Artiodactyla; Suidae.
CAGCCCCAGAAUGUCAGAGCAGGGCUGUAUGUUUCUCAAGUUCGAUUGAAAUAACCAUUCUGAGUAAGAAAGAAAACAAAGGUACGGAUGAUUAACAUUUGUUUCAAACUUUUGGGCUCUUAAGGGGUUUUGGGAAAGUUUUGUGUUAUAGUUUGGUUAAACUGAAUUCAAAUAUGUUAGUAUUGUAUUUAAGAACAUAUAUAAGAAGAGAGAUGGGGUAAGAGUAAACAUAAAUAGACCCACCCCCCCCAAAAAAAAAUGGUGACAUAAAUGAUGAAUUCUUCGGGAGCUGAUGAAAGUAACUGAAACCUUGUGUUGAGAUUAGUGUCAAGGAGGGUGGGAAUUAGAUUAAUUCUCACUGGUGUCCAGAUUUAGCCUUUCACAAAGCACCAAGUGUAUUAACGUCUUCGCUCCUCUGGUUAGGGUGUGUUCCUCAUAAUCUUGUUCAGGACGUCACUUUGAAAUGCAUCUGUUGGUUGUGUGGACACUGUUCACCUGGUGUGUCAGUUGUAGUUUCGAUACUCUUAAAGCUCAUUAAGACCUCCAGUUCAGCCACAGCAACACCAGAUCCGAGCCAUAUCUGUGACCCACACCAUAGCUCAUGGCAAUGCCAGAUCCUUAACCCACUGAGCAAGGCCAGGGGUCGAACCUGCAACCUCAUGGUUACUAGUCAGAUUCGUUAACCACUGAGCCACAACAGGAACUCCAGUGAGGAACUGAUUUUAAUACCUACUAAGUCACUCAACCAAGUGAAAAUAGCUUCCUACAUCUGUAGACAUCACUCUGCCAAAGAUGAUUCAAGAUGCUAAAUGUAAGCACUGUUUGUGAAAAAAACCAUGUAUUAGUGCAUGAAAAUUACGUAAAACUAUGUAUUUUUGACUUUGCAUUUGAAGUAUUAUAUGUCUCCUUAUAACUUUAGAAAUAAGACCUCUUAUUUACAAAUGCCAUAAAAUGCCUUAGGGAUCAACGUAAAAUGGUAAGAUCUUUUAUUUUUAUGUGAAAACCCACGUUUUAAGUAUUUUUAAAAUCUGCUAAAUUAGAUUUCUCUCUGAGGCAGGUUGUAAUAUUUGUAUGUAAAUGGUCUUGGAUCUAACAUUAUGGAUAUGAAAGAUCCACAACACUCAAGGUCAUCUUCAUAGAUCACCUGGUCUAAUCCCCUUUCUCUCAUUGUCCCUGAAGAGGCCAAAACAGUGGCCUUGGUCCUGUGGAUUUCUAGCUCUACCUGGAAUAUAACAGAUGCUGAAGGUGUGUUGAUGAAAUAGCUGAAACCCUUUUCCUACAUUCAGUGAUUUAUUAAGUUAACCAUUAAAAAUCUGUUUAAUGUCCAUUUAAAUCCAGAUAAAUGCCCAUUUAAAUCCAUAUAAAGCCUUAUAUCUGGGAUAUAAGGGCAAAAGAGAUAUGAUUAUGAUUCUUAUCCUCAAGGGCUUUACGGUCUAUUAUAAGAAGAGGACAAAUAAGCAAAGAAGGGCAAUGCAUCUUCCCAGUAUUAUGAUCUAUGUUAAAACAAGGUGCAUGUGGGGCACAAAGAAAGCUUGACCAGUUCUCCUUGAAGCAGGGAUAGAAGUUUACUUAAAGAGCUGUGUUUUAAGCCUUUUUAGGAAGAUGAAACAUUAUAAUUUUUUUAAAAAAGCAGUCUUGAUUUUUUUUUUAUAAAGUAGAACCCCCCCCCAAAUUUCCCUAUAUCUAUUCCAGCUUCUCUGAUCUUCCCAUUAGGAAAUUCUUUAUAUCUUACUCAAAUUCCUCAGGAUGCAUUUUUUAACUUGAAGUUCCUUAGUUUCUCCAGGGAGGAUAGAAAAUAACCAAUUGGUAUCCCUUAUUUAGCAAUCUGAAUUUUUGGCAGUCUGUAUUGCUGGAUCCACACCAAAAAGAUUAAAUAUAACUGGAAUAAACAUAAAGUCCUAUAUUUAAAUUGAGAAUGUUAUCAUACAUUUAAAAGAUAAGAGAGGGAGGUCUUACAUGAAAUAAAUAAAUAAAUAAAUAAAUAAAUAAAUAAAAGAACUCUGAGGGUUUUAUUUGGCUGCAAAUUUAAAUAUGUCUAUUGCAGGAUGUAGCUGCUAGAAACCUGUCUUGCUCACAGUUGGCAUUAAUGGACACAGUCUUCAUAUCACAGACUUAUGCCCACUGUGCUGGGCCCUAGGCUGAAAAUACUUGAAAAAUAAUCAAUUUGGUUCUGUGUGUCACAUUGAAGAAUAUGGAAAGCCUGAAGCUUCUCCUGAAGAAAACCAUCAUGUAUGCACCUCUAGACUAGCCCUUUCCUGCAUCUUGACCUUCGGUUCCAACCAUAUCCUGAGCAGCUCUCUCACCUGGUUUAUAACAGUUCUCAAUUGUUGACUCACUUCUUCCAUCCAUAUUAAGUUCUCUAAAAUUGAAUCAGCCUUCCUUGCCUUUGACAAGCUUCCAUUCCCAGCACCUCUGCUCUGCAUCCACCCAGAUGGAAGACUUGGGUGUUUUGUUUUGUUUUUAACCUCUCCCCUUUGCCUCCACUUUUCUGACCCUUGGUACUAGAGACAUGACUUAUGUGCUUCCUUGCCUUUCCUAUAGCUAUAAUCAGCUAAUCAUUCUUCCGUCUCUUGUAUUCAGUUCACAGUUAAGGUGAAAAAAAUAUGGUUACACUACUUUACAUACUAGAACAAGGACUUCUAAACUUUCUUCUUGGGAAGGGUUUUGUUUUGUCUUGUUUUGUUUACCAUUUUAAAGUGAAGGCAGGAGUUCUCAUUGUGGUUCAGUGGGUUAAGAACCUAACUGGUAUCCAUGAGGAUGCAGGUUCUUUCCCUGACCUCACUCAGUGGGUUAGUGGGAUCCAGUAUUGCCACAAGCUGUGGUAUAGGUCACAGAUGUAGGUCAGAUCCCACAUUGCUGUGGCUGUGGUGUAGGCCGGCAGCUGCAUCUCUGAUUCAACCCCUAGCCCGGGAACUUCCAUAUGCCACAGGUAUGGCCCU